UACAGAGGGUGCGAGCGUUAAUCGGAUUUACUGGGCGUAAAGCGUGCGUAGGCGGCUUAUUAAGUCGGAUGUGAAAUCCCCGAGCUUAACUUGGGAAUUGCAUUCGAUACUGGUGAGCUAGAGUAUGGGAGAGGAUGGUAGAAUUCCAGGUGUAGCGGUGAAAUGCGUAGAGAUCUGGAGGAAUACCGAUGGCGAAGGCAGCCAUCUGGCCUAAUACUGACGCUGAGGUACGAAAGCAUGGGGAGCAAACAGG
This 253-nucleotide ribosomal RNA is filed under the name uncultured bacterium. RNAcentral describes it as "partial 16S ribosomal RNA". It matches the Rfam family "Bacterial small subunit ribosomal RNA", at positions 524 to 776 of the family's 1533-position model. The record is from RNAcentral. RNAcentral also lists the same sequence under 1 other name.